AGCCCAAAACAAGGCUUCUCUCCU
RNAcentral lists this non-coding RNA (24 nucleotides) under Arabidopsis thaliana (thale cress). The record is from RNAcentral. Lineage: Eukaryota; Viridiplantae; Streptophyta; Magnoliopsida; Brassicales; Brassicaceae.